AUGGGCAUGUGUGACGUGUAAGAGGGCGCCAUUUAAUCAGACAGGCCUGUGAAACACUUUCAAGAGUCCAGGGCUGGCAGUGAGAGGGGAUUCCACAGCAUUGAGAGAGACCAGAUGGCUGGCAACAAAAUUCCAGAUCCAGGAAAGGUCCAGCAUCUACAUAUCCAUCCACUUUUAGUCUCCUGAUUAGCUUUCCUCUGUCAGAAACCUCUGCAAAGAGCCUAGUGAUAGACAAGCCAAUGUUCCACUUCUCCUUAGCCCCGCU
This is a long non-coding RNA of Homo sapiens (human), 265 nucleotides long. RefSeq lists it as uncharacterized. Lineage: Eukaryota; Metazoa; Chordata; Mammalia; Primates; Hominidae. The transcript has 3 exons. The record is from RefSeq and is a predicted model, not a curated record.